Physella acuta is the source of this 75-nucleotide non-coding RNA. Lineage: Eukaryota; Metazoa; Mollusca; Gastropoda; Physidae. The record is from the annotation of a RefSeq genome assembly.
UGGCCGGUAGCUCAGUUAUUUAGAGCGUCGUGCUAAAAACGCGAAUGUCGUGGGUUCAAUCCCCAUACUGGCCAA